This 497-nucleotide ribosomal RNA is filed under the name uncultured bacterium. Its description in RNAcentral is "partial 16S ribosomal RNA". It matches the Rfam family "Bacterial small subunit ribosomal RNA", at positions 28 to 507 of the family's 1533-position model. The record is from RNAcentral.
GAUGAACGCUGGCGGCGUGCCUAAUACAUGCAAGUCGAGCGAACAGAUGAGGAGCUUGCUCCUCUGACGUUAGCGGCGGACGGGUGAGUAACACGUGGAUAACCUACCUAUAAGACUGGGAUAACUUCGGGAAACCGGAGCUAAUACCGGAUAAUAUAUUGAACCGCAUGGUUCAAUAGUGGAAGACGGUUUUGCUGUCACUUAUAGAUGGAUCCGCGCCGCAUUAGCUAGUUGGUAAGGUAACGGCUUACCAAGGCAACGAUGCGUAGCCGACCUGAGAGGGUGAUCGGCCACACUGGAACUGAGACACGGUCCAGACUCCUACGGGAGGCAGCAGUAGGGAAUCUUCCGCAAUGGGCGAAAGCCUGACGGAGCAACGCCGCGUGAGUGAUGAAGGUCUUCGGAUCGUAAAACUCUGUUAUUAGGGAAGAACAAUUGUGUAAGUAACUAUGCACGUCUUGACGGUACCUAAUCAGAAAGCCACGGCUAACUACGUG